AUACGUAGGGGGCGAGCGUUGUCCGGAAUGAUUGGGCGUAAAGGGCGCGUAGGCGGCCCGGUAAGUCUGGAGUGAAAGUCCUGUUUUUAAGCUGGGAAUUGCUUUGGAUACUGUCGGGCUUGAGUGCAGGAGAGGUAAGUGGAAUUCCCAGUGUAGCGGUGAAAUGCGUAGGGAUUGGGAGGAACACCAGUGGCGAAGGCGACUUACUGGACUGUAACUGACGCUGAGGCGCGAAAGUGUGGGGAGCAAACAGGAUUAGAUACCCUGGUAGUCCACACUGUAAACGAUGAAUGCUAGGUGUAGGGGGUAUCGACCCCUUCUGUGCCGCAGUCAACACAAUAAGCAUUCCGCCUGGGGAGUACGGCCGCAAGGUUGAAACUCAAAUGAAUUGACGGGG
Molecule: ribosomal RNA, 397 nt
Filed under: uncultured bacterium
Lineage: Bacteria
Description: partial 16S ribosomal RNA
Rfam family: Bacterial small subunit ribosomal RNA
Source: RNAcentral